RNAcentral lists this ribosomal RNA (604 nucleotides) under Streptococcus pluranimalium. Its description in RNAcentral is "bacterial SSU rRNA". It matches the Rfam family "Bacterial small subunit ribosomal RNA", at positions 76 to 661 of the family's 1533-position model. Lineage: Bacteria; Bacillati; Bacillota; Bacilli; Lactobacillales; Streptococcaceae. The record is from RNAcentral.
UAGCUUGCUACAUUUGAAUUGAUUGAGUCGCGAACGGGUGAGUAACGCGUAGGUAACCUACCUUAUAGCGGGGGAUAACUAUUGGAAACGAUAGCUAAUACCGCAUAAGAGUUGGCAACACAUGUUGUUAAUUUAAAAGGAGCAAUUGCUUCACUAUGAGAUGGACCUGCGUUGUAUUAGCUAGUUGGUAAGGUAACGGCUUACCAAGGCAUCGAUACAUAGCCGACCUGAGAGGGUGAUCGGCCACACUGGGACUGAGACACGGCCCAGACUCCUACGGGAGGCAGCAGUAGGGAAUCUUCGGCAAUGGGGGGAACCCUGACCGAGCAACGCCGCGUGAGUGAAGAAGGUUUUCGGAUCGUAAAGCUCUGUUAUAAGCGAAGAACGGGAGUAAGAGUGGAAAGUUUACUCUGUGACGGUAGCUUAUCAGAAAGGGACGGCUAACUACGUGCCAGCAGCCGCGGUAAUACGUAGGUCCCGAGCGUUGUCCGGAUUUAUUGGGCGUAAAGCGAGCGCAGGUGGUUUAAUAAGUCUGAAGUUAAAGGCAUUGGCUCAACCAAUGUACGCUUUGGAAACUGUUAAACUUGAGUGCAGAAGGGGAGAG